Molecule: ribosomal RNA, 459 nt
Filed under: uncultured bacterium
Lineage: Bacteria
Description: partial 16S ribosomal RNA
Rfam family: Bacterial small subunit ribosomal RNA
Source: RNAcentral
CCUACGGGUGGCUGCAGUGAGGAAUAUUGGUCAAUGGCCGAGAGGCUGAACCAGCCAAGUCGCGUGAGGGAAGACGGCCCUACGGGUUGUACACCUCUUUUGUCGGGGAGCAAAGCGAACCACGUGUGGUUCAUUGAGAGUACCCGAAGAAAAAUCAUCGACUAACUCCGUGCCAGCAGCCGCGGUAAUACGGAGGAUGCGAGCGUUAUCCGGAUUUUUGGGGUUUAAAGGUUGCGCAGGCGGAGGUGCAAGUCAGCGGUCAAAUUGCGGGGCUCAACCCCGUACUGCCGUUGAAACUGCAUCCCUUGAGUGCGCGAGAAGUAUGCGGAAUGCGUGGUGUAGCGGUGAAAUGCAUAGAUAUCACGCAGAACUCCGAUUGCGAAGGCAGCAUACCGGCGCGCAACUGACGCUCAUGCACGAAAGCGUGGGUAUCGAACAGGAUUAGAUACCCGAGUAGUC